Molecule: ribosomal RNA, 616 nt
Filed under: uncultured beta proteobacterium
Lineage: Bacteria; Pseudomonadati; Pseudomonadota; Betaproteobacteria
Description: bacterial SSU rRNA
Rfam family: Bacterial small subunit ribosomal RNA
Source: RNAcentral
UGACGAGUGGCGAACGGGUGAGUAAUACAUCGGAACGUGCCCAGUCGUGGGGGAUAACUACUCGAAAGAGUAGCUAAUACCGCAUACGAUCUGAGGAUGAAAGCGGGGGACCUUCGGGCCUCGCGCGAUUGGAGCGGCCGAUGGCAGAUUAGGUAGUUGGUGGGAUAAAAGCUUACCAAGCCGACGAUCUGUAGCUGGUCUGAGAGGACGACCAGCCACACUGGGACUGAGACACGGCCCAGACUCCUACGGGAGGCAGCAGUGGGGAAUUUUGGACAAUGGGCGAAAGCCUGAUCCAGCAAUGCCGCGUGCAGGAUGAAGGCCUUCGGGUUGUAAACUGCUUUUGUACGGAACGAAAAAGCUUCUCCUAAUACGAGAGGCCCAUGACGGUACCGUAAGAAUAAGCACCGGCUAACUACGUGCCAGCAGCCGCGGUAAUACGUAGGGUGCGAGCGUUAAUCGGAAUUACUGGGCGUAAAGCGUGCGCAGGCGGUUAUGUAAGACAGAUGUGAAAUCCCCGGGCUCAACCUGGGAACUGCAUUUGUGACUGCAUGGCUAGAGUACGGUAGAGGGGGAUGGAAUUCCGCGUGUAGCAGUGAAAUGCGUAGAUAUGCGG